CACGUUCCCCUCUCUCUCGCGCGACGCCGCCCACCACUCGCUCCCCUCCACUCGUCUCUCUCUCGCGCGCGACAUGCCCUCUCUCUCUCCCUCUCGCCGGCAUCUUGCUCCGCACCGCCGCCUAGCUCACCGCUCCCCACGCGCCGCCGCCUAGCUUACCGCUCCCCACGCGCCGCCCUCUCCUACUCCGGCAACGCGGUGCUGGGCGAGGAGUAGAUGCAGAAAGCUGCCAUUUUUAUGCGCCAGCAACACGCUGCUGGGCGAGGAGGACGUGCGCACUGGCGCUAGAUCUGAGUGCGCCGGCAGUCGAUCUGCUUUGAGGCUUGAAGGAGGCGCUGAACCGGCCCGGGCGUGAAGACGGCGGCGUGGGGAGCUGGAGCACGAGCGGGAGGAGCUGGAGCCGCAUCUGGAUGUCGCCGUGAUGAUGAGCCGCAUCUGGACGUCGUCGUAGAUGGCCAGGGCUUUAAUCUGGAGCUCAUUUAACUUGGCCAGGGCUUAAAUCUGGAGCUCCAUGGCGUUCCACAAGCGCGGCGGCCAGGCAAUACUCCACUUGUACUGCAUCAAGGAAUGAGUACUUCAAACGCUGGUAGCAUCAGCAGCACCAAAGGGUAGCUUCAGGUUCUCUCCUGGCCAUGGAGCCAUGGGCUGUGAAUAUUAAGCACGAAACAGGGGUCUCCUUUCCUCUUAAGCAGAGCAGCAGCUCCGGUUGAGGAGAUGAACCUGGGCCGCAGCCGAGCCCAGCAGCAGGUCGAGGAAGAGCCUCCACCUGGGCAUGCACGGGCCAGGAGGAGCUCCUGGACGUGGGAGAGGAGGAGCGCCUGGGCUGGAGGUGGAGGCGCCUGGACCUGGGCGCAGUCGCCGGAUGUGGGAGUGCCUGGACCUGAGCGCAGUCGCCGGAUGUGGGGGUCCCUGGACCUGGGCGCAGUCGCCGGAUGUGGGGGUCCCUGGACCUGGGCGCAGUCGCCGGAUGUGGGGGCGCCUGGACCUGGGCGCAGUCGCCGGAGGUGGGGGCGCCUGGGACCUGGGCACAGUCGCCGGAUGUGGGAGGAGGUGGCGAUGGAGGGCGGAGGUGGGGGUGGAGGGCGAGGGCGGAGGUGGGCGUGGAGCUGGAGGGCUGAAGGUAGAAGACGACGCAGGCUUCAAAUUCAAAUUGGGGGUAGUACGGUCCUUUUGCACGAUUUCACCUGGUCGGAACAAGGUCGCCAGCGACCUACAUUUCGGAACGGA
Triticum aestivum (bread wheat) is the source of this 1227-nucleotide long non-coding RNA. RefSeq lists it as uncharacterized. The transcript is spliced from 3 exons. The record is from RefSeq and is a predicted model, not a curated record. NCBI's taxonomy places the organism in Eukaryota, Viridiplantae, Streptophyta, Magnoliopsida, Poales, Poaceae.